RNAcentral lists this ribosomal RNA (471 nucleotides) under uncultured bacterium. RNAcentral describes it as "bacterial SSU rRNA". It matches the Rfam family "Bacterial small subunit ribosomal RNA", at positions 335 to 803 of the family's 1533-position model. The record is from RNAcentral.
ACUCCUACGGGAGGCAGCAGUGAGGAAUAUUGGUCAAUGGACGCAAGUCUGAACCAGCCAUGCCGCGUGCAGGAACCCCCGACGGCCCUACGGGUUGUAAACUGCUUUUAUACAGGAAGAAAACGUUGUACGUGUACAAUUUGACGGUACUGUAAGAAUAAGCACCGGCUAACUCCGUGCCAGCAGCCGCGGUAAUACGGAGGGUGCAAGCGUUAUCCGGAUUUAUUGGGUUUAAAGGGUCCGCAGGCGGUUAAAUAAGUCAGAGGUGAAAGUCUAUAGCUCAACUAUAGAAUUGCCUUUGAUACUGUUUGACUAGAAUGUAGUUGAAGUAGGCGGAAUGUGUAGUGUAGCGGUGAAAUGCUUAGAUAUUACACAGAACACCAAUUGCGAAGGCAGCUUACUAAGCUACUAUUGACGCUCAUGGACGAAAGCGUGGGAGCGAACAGGAUUAGAUACCCUGGUAGCGACUGA